CAACCACGGGUCAAUGUGUGUGUGAGUGUUUAGUAGCAUAACUAGCAAAGGUUAGGUAAGCAGAAACAUUUGUGGAGUACUGCUGUCUGCAGCUCGUUCCUCAAAAAGGCACCAAGAAAAUGUUUUAUAAUAGAAGAAUAACAAAGUUUCAAAUAUUUAUUGUAUCGGCUCUUGGAUUCAUGGGUGGAAUAUAUAUAUGGAAACCAUUGUUGGAAGAACAAGCUAAUAAGCAACAAGAAUUAGCCCUAAGUAAAGCCAAUGCUGUUAGCGUAGAGAGUUCUUAGAUUUUGUCAUUAUGUUUUGCGAUUUUAUACUUAAAAUACAAGACAAGCGUGAAAAAACGAUUGGGAUUUUCUCAAAUAUAUUGUCUUGCAAAGAAUCGCAUGUAAAUCACACAUACUUAUACAUAUCUGCAAGACGAUGCCAUGCUUUUGUUUAAAGCUCCUAGCAGUCAACAUUCAAAAUUAGAGUAUAGCCUUUAAUAAAAUAUCUUUGUAUAUCGGAGCACUUCAUCAUGCAUACUGUUAUGUCGCUUUGCAAUUUUUAGAAUUUAUCAUAGUACGCUCACAAUGGAUGUUUUGAGAUCGUAUUCCCUGCAGUUUUAUACAAUAUACACGCAUAUGUACAUAUGUAAAUUUGAAUUAUAAAUUAAAAAAUAAAGUUAUGUGGUUAUUAAAA
Molecule: long non-coding RNA, 678 nt
Organism: Nasonia vitripennis (jewel wasp)
Lineage: Eukaryota; Metazoa; Arthropoda; Insecta; Hymenoptera; Pteromalidae
Exons: 2
Source: RefSeq, a predicted model, not a curated record